Molecule: ribosomal RNA, 490 nt
Filed under: uncultured bacterium
Lineage: Bacteria
Description: partial 16S ribosomal RNA
Rfam family: Bacterial small subunit ribosomal RNA
Source: RNAcentral
AUUGAACGCUGGCGGCAGGCCUAACACAUGCAAGUCGAACGGUAACAGGAAACAGCUUCCUGUUUUGCUGACGAGUGGCGGACGGGUGAGUUAUGUCUGGGAAUCUGCCUGAUGGAGGGGGAUAACUACUGGAAACGGUAGCUAAUACCGCAUACCGUCGCAAGAUCAAUGAGCGGUACCUUCGGCCCUCUUGCCAUCGGCUGUGUCCAGAUGGGAUUAGCUAGUAGGUGGGGUAACGGCUUACCUAGGCGACGAUCCCUAGCUGGUCUGAGAGGAUGACCAGCCACACUGGAACUGAGACACGGUCCAGACUCCUACGGGAGGCAGCAGUGGGGAAUAUUGCACAAUGGGCGCAAGCCUGAUGCAGCCAUGCCGCGUGUGUGAAGAAGGCCUUCGGGUUGUAAAGUACUUUCAGCGGGGAGGAAGGGAAUAAAGUUAAUACCUUUGCUCAUUGACGUUACCCGCAGAAGAAGCACCGGCUAACUCCGUG